CUGAGUGAGGGUCUCCAAUUGGCCCGACCUCCCAACCCCUUGUUUAUUGAACCUUUGUUUGCUUCGGCGGGCCCGUCUUCAUUGACCGCCGGAGGGGGGGCUGUCGCGAGACGACUUCCCCCCCGGCCAGCGUCCGCCGGUAGCCCAACUACCUAAACUCGAUGCAAAUCAUGCUCAAAUGUCUAAGUGAAUGGUUAAAUGAAAAAGCA
RNAcentral lists this unclassified non-coding RNA (209 nucleotides) under uncultured fungus. Its description in RNAcentral is "sequence contains ITS1, 5.8S rRNA gene". Lineage: Eukaryota; Fungi. The record is from RNAcentral.